UAAGGAAUAUUGGUCAAUGGAGGAAACUCUGAACCAGCCAUGCCGCGUGAAGGAUGAAGGUCCUCUGGAUUGUAAACUUCUUUUAUAGGGGGCGAAAAAAGGGAAAUCUUUCUCACUUGACAGUACCCUAUGAAUAAGCACCGGCUAACUCCGUGCCAGCAGCCGCGGUAAUAUGGAGGGUGCAAGCGUUAUCCGGAUUCACUGGGUUUAAAGGGUGCGUAGGCGGGCGUAUAAGUCAGUGGUGAAAUCCUGGAGCUUAACUCCAGAACUGCCAUUGAUACUAUAUGUCUUGAAUAUGGUGGAGGUAAGCGGAAUAUGUCAUGUAGCGGUGAAAUGCAUAGAUAUGACAUAGAACACCUAUUGCGAAGGCAGCUUACUACGCCUAUAUUGACGCUGAGGCACGAAAAGCGUGGGGAUCAAACAGGAUUAGAUACCCUGGUAGUCCACGCCCUAAACGAUGAUUACUCGACGUGUGCGAUAAACGGUACGCGUCUGAGCGAAAGCAUUAAGUAAUCCACCUGGGAAGUACGACCGCAAGGUUGAAACUUAAAGGAAUUGACGGGGUCAUAGCUGUUUCCUG
This 580-nucleotide ribosomal RNA is filed under the name uncultured bacterium. RNAcentral describes it as "partial 16S ribosomal RNA". It matches the Rfam family "Bacterial small subunit ribosomal RNA", at positions 355 to 1376 of the family's 1533-position model. The record is from RNAcentral.